RNAcentral lists this ribosomal RNA (504 nucleotides) under uncultured bacterium. RNAcentral describes it as "partial 16S ribosomal RNA". It matches the Rfam family "Bacterial small subunit ribosomal RNA", at positions 29 to 523 of the family's 1533-position model. The record is from RNAcentral.
AUUGAACGCUGGCGGCAGGCCUAACACAUGCAAGUCGAACGGUAGCACAGAGAGCUUGCUCUCGGGUGACGAGUGGCGGACGGGUGAGUAACGUCUGGGAAACUGCCCGAUGGAGGGGGAUAACUACUGGAAACGGUAGCUAAUACCGCAUAACGUCGCAAGACCAAAGUGGGGGACCUUCGGGCCUCACACCAUCGGAUGUGCCCAGAUGGGAUUAGCUAGUGGGGGGGGUAACGGCCCACCUAGGCGACGAUCCCUAGCUGGCCUGAGAGGAUGACCAGCCACACUGGAACUGAUACACGGUCCAGACUCCUACGGGAGGCAGCAGUGGGGAGUAUUGCACAAUGGGCGCAAGCCUGAUGCGGCCAUGCCGCGUGUAUGAAGAAGGCCUUCGGGUUGUAAAGUACUUUCAGCGGGGAGGAAGGCGGUGAAGUUAAUAACUUCACCGAUUGACGUUACCCGCAGAAGAAGCACCGGCUAACUCCGUGCCAGCCGCCGCCGUAA